AGCCGUGCGAUGGGCACAGAGCGAACUAUUCUUUCGCCUUUUACUAAAGAAUACCGUGUGGUCGUCGCCUAAAACGGCAUACGCCUAUUUUUGGAGGGCCGGUUUUUCGAGAACGGGC
Molecule: small nuclear RNA, 118 nt
Organism: Gossypium raimondii (Peruvian cotton)
Lineage: Eukaryota; Viridiplantae; Streptophyta; Magnoliopsida; Malvales; Malvaceae
Rfam family: U5 spliceosomal RNA
About the family: U5 RNA is a component of both types of known spliceosome.
Source: Rfam